RNAcentral lists this ribosomal RNA (489 nucleotides) under uncultured bacterium. RNAcentral's name for it is "partial 16S ribosomal RNA". It matches the Rfam family "Bacterial small subunit ribosomal RNA", at positions 28 to 507 of the family's 1533-position model. The record is from RNAcentral.
GAUGAACGCUAGCUACAGGCUUAACACAUGCAAGUCGCGGGGCAGCAUGGGGGUUGCUUGCAAUCCCCGAUGGCGACCGGCGCACGGGUGAGUAACGCGUAUCCAACCUGCCUUCACCACGGGAUAACCCGGCGAAAGUCGGACUAAUACCGUAUGUUGUCCAUUGACGGCAUCCGAUUUGGACGAAAGGUUUGGCGGUGCAGGAUGGGGAUGCGUCCGAUUAGCUGGACGGCGGGGUGACGGCCGACCGUGGCGACGAUCGGUAGGGGUUCUGAGAGGAAGGUCCCCCACACUGGAACUGAGACACGGUCCAGACUCCUACGGGAGGCAGCAGUGAGGAAUAUUGGUCAAUGGGCGUAAGCCUGAACCAGCCAAGUAGCGUGCAGGAUGACGGCCCUAUGGGUUGUAAACUGCUUUUAUGCGGGGAUAAAGUGGCCCACGUGUGGGUUUUUGCAGGUACCGCAUGAAUAAGGACCGGCUAAUUCCGUG